AUUUUUUUUCCAAAUUUUGAAGGCAAAACAUCUAUCGAAAUCUUUAUUUUUUUCUUUCACGACAUUUUAUAUCAUAAAUGGUAAAAACAAGCCGAAUAAAAAAAAAUUAAAAAAUGUUAAUUUUUCACCUAGAUAUGUCCAAAAAUAGGGGUUGUAAAUAAUUACCAUUUUUUUUCUUUCAGAUUGUAAUGAAACAUUAGUCUAAUUACUUAGGGAUCAAACCUGUCAAUAGAAAACCGAAACACGUUUAGUCUGCAUUAUAUAAGUGACAUCGUGAGCUUUUACAAGGUCCAAGGAGGCGGUCCCUAAGCUCGGUUGAAUGCAUUUACACUGGGGAUAAGUAAAGCUACACAUGUGCUUCAGGGUUUUACUCACACGUUGAUCCAUAUAAUAUAUGUACAUAUGUUUACAGAUCCGGGAAGUAAAGUAAGAGGGAUGAUACCGUAUAUACAGGAAUAAAAUGUAGGUACCCGUGCAAGGGAAAGUAACCAGUCUACAGUGGCUGAGAGAAGCUGGAUGAGUGGAGGGUGUACAUCCUAUAUAUACGUGUAGGGAAUUAUUGAAGAUCUGUAUAAGAGAAACGGAAGAAACAAUAUUUUUCCCGCGAGAAUUAUUCAGAUAAAAUACCGGCUCGAGAUUCAUGAACGCUUGGUACACAGUAUACUCUGAGGCAUCGAUGACAACCUCGCGUAAAUGGAACUAAUUACAGUGAUCACAACGACGUCCGGAUGCAUAUAUAAUUUGACAUUCAUCACACACAGACAUUGGUAUCAAUGUAGGUGCAGAAGUAUACAUAUACAAGAUAGACGUGCAACAACUGCAUACUUGUUAUACAUAUACAUGUUCGUGUGUCUCGAUGCAUUGUUGAUGGGAAAAGAAAAGAAAGAAUGGAAAAAAAAAACUGAAUCCUCGGGAUGUGCCUUUGUGCAUCCCCGACAAUUGUUAAACUCUUUUUUCAGUAGGGAGAAUAAUAUCGUUUUCUCGUUAAUUAGGGUGCUAAUUACCAGCAAUUAAUCAUUGCUACUCCUUUAUUUCGAUUUUUACAUUCAUACAGUCAAUAUGAUAACCAAUCAAUGGAAUUAUCGGGGUAUCUUUAUGCAUAAUGCAGACAUCAAUUUUUAAUUAAAAUUUAUUAAUCGGUCGAUCUUAAGGGAGGUUAAGCGAAUUAAUGAAAGGUAUUAGAAGGUCUUAAAUGGAGAUACAAGAGAGAUUUUACGAUGAGGGAUGGUAACGGAUGAAGGUUGCCGUGAAAAGCCAAUAGCGGUUUUAGCAGUAGCUUUCGGCGAUGCCAUAGAAAACGGAUAGGAUAGACGGUGGUUUUGGUCGUUGCGGCAUCUUCGGGAGAGAUAAUAUUUUAUAUCAAAAUUGUUUAUGAAUCACUCAAUUUUGACUACAACGACUAAUAAAAAAUCAUAUAAGCAAACAUCAUCAAGCAAUUAUAUCUAGAGGGUUGUUAAAAAACCACAAUCAAGUCAACAAGUCACAUAAAACGUGAUGACGCGUGUCUACAAUACACAUGUCAGGCGUCCUACGGUGGCAAGCACGCUUUAAAAGACCCCAUGGGACUAAAAAUAAAUAAAAUUGUCGAGCUUAAAUGGAUUUGUGAUUUACUAAAAAUAUCAACACCUUAAAUCUUGACAAUUGAAAAAAAAAUAGCAGACAAAUGACCUGGAAUAAAUUAAAGGCAUUGUAGAGAUGAUGAAGAGUCGAUGAGAACUUUAAAUAAAGGCAUCGGACGUCUGAAAAACUCAGAUGGAUGGAAGACGAGUAUUAAGAGGAGGGAAAACAAGGU
Molecule: long non-coding RNA, 1792 nt
Organism: Cotesia glomerata
Lineage: Eukaryota; Metazoa; Arthropoda; Insecta; Hymenoptera; Braconidae
Exons: 6
Source: RefSeq, a predicted model, not a curated record